AACUUUUGGCAAUGGAUCACUUGGCUCUCGCAUCGAUGAAGAACACAGCGAAAUGUGAUAAGUAAUGUGAGUUGCAGAAUCCAGUGAAUCAUCGAAUCUUUGAACGCAUCUUGCGCUCCUUGGCAUUCCGAGGAGCAGGCCUGUGUGAGUGUCAUUAAACUAUCAAAAAACUCUUUGUCGAGGUGUUUUGGACUUUGGGAGCACUGUGCUGGUCUCUGUUUAAGCCAGCGCUCCUCAACAGCAUUCGCUUUGAGACCAUCAGUGUGAUAAUUUGUUUGCACUGGCUUCUCUUUUUUCACUGCCCCUUGGACCUCAAAUCAGGUAGGACUCCCCGCUGAACAUAAGCAUAUCACUAUGCGUAGGCU
RNAcentral lists this unclassified non-coding RNA (365 nucleotides) under uncultured Amanita. Its description in RNAcentral is "sequence contains ITS2". The stretch from base 1 to 154 matches the Rfam family "5.8S ribosomal RNA". The record is from RNAcentral. Lineage: Eukaryota; Fungi; Basidiomycota; Agaricomycetes; Agaricales; Amanitaceae.